RNAcentral lists this ribosomal RNA (483 nucleotides) under uncultured bacterium. Its description in RNAcentral is "partial 16S ribosomal RNA". It matches the Rfam family "Bacterial small subunit ribosomal RNA", at positions 28 to 507 of the family's 1533-position model. The record is from RNAcentral.
GACGAACGCUGGCGGCGUGCUUAACACAUGCAAGUCGAACGCUGAAGCUCAGCUUUUGUUGGGUGGAUGAGUGGCGAACGGGUGAGUAACACGUGAGUAACCUGCCUCCUUCUUUGGGAUAACGCCCGGAAACGGGUGCUAAUACUGGAUAUUCACUGGUCUUCGCAUGGGGGUUGGUGGAAAGGGUUUUUCUGGUGGGGGAUGGGCUCGCGGCCUAUCAGCUUGUUGGUGGGGUGAUGGCCUACCAAGGCUUUGACGGGUAGCCGGCCUGAGAGGGUGACCGGUCACAUUGGGACUGAGAUACGGCCCAGACUCCUACGGGAGGCAGCAGUGGGGAAUAUUGCACAAUGGGCGCAAGCCUGAUGCAGCGACGCCGCGUGAGGGAUGGAGGCCUUCGGGUUGUGAACCUCUUUCGCUCAUGGUCAAGCCGCAACAAUGGUUGUGGUGAGGGUAGUGGGUAAAGAAGCGCCGGCUAAUUACGUG